AUUCAUUUCAAUUCUGUUACAGAGCUCUGAAGUUCUGACAAGCUGUGAGCAGUUCUUCAAUCAGCAUGCAAGUGCAGUAAUGAAGAAAGUCAAGAACUGUGCAUGCCACCAGCAAUAUCAGUGCUGAGGAAUUCAUGCAGCUUGUCUGAGCCCUCAUCAUUUCUUUCCAGCAGGUCAAGAACUAGUUCAAAAGUAAUGAUUCUCUUGAAUGGCAGUGAAUGUGAGAUGAUGCCCUUCCAGGCACUGUGCUCAUUCUUGAUUUAUGCUUUUAAAAAGUUAGAACUAAAGACAUUCAUUCCUGCACCCCCAAAUAUUUGUGCCAGACUUGAAUCAAAUUGACAGCCAUUUUGACCAAUAACUUUUCAUCCUUCAUAGGCAGGUCACAAACAAAUUUUACUCCAAAAAGCUAUUUUUUUAAAGUUUAAGAAAGGAGCCUAUGUUUACAUUUCUGACUGGACUGUGAAUUUGGAAAAAGAAAAAUUACAAAACUUUGAGACAGCAUUACAUCUAAAAGACAUUAGUAAGUAUUCUGGAUGACUCCUUCCCUUUACCCUCAAUCUCAAAUGACUAAAAUACAUUCUCUUGGACUUCUUCACUCUACUCAUGUAUUCACUUAUUCAUGAAGGAUUAUAUUAAAUUAUAUAAAGGAAAUUUAUUUGAGUUCUUAGGGGAAAAGGCCACAUAAUAAUUGUAGCAUUCAUUUUAAUUGUAAAUGUCUUCUUUUAUAUUUUUAUGUGUAAUAUCUAUUUCCAUCUGUAAACUGCAGUUUGAUGAUGGUAAUCCUUCACAAUAACUUUAAAGAGAUAAAAAGAUAAGCCCUUAUAAUGUACUCCCUACAUUUAUUCACUUAUAUUUGUUGCAGUAGUAGAAUAAGCAUUUAGCUUUUCCUUUAACACUGGAUUUCUGUUUUAAAAUAUGCAAAAUGGAAUAUUUGAAAAUACUGCUAUCAAAAAUUAAAGGUAACAUAGACUCUGGCAAAUAUCAUCUCUUUCUCAAACAGGGAAGAAUGGGAAGAGGAAAUAUUCCUGCUUCUGAGAUAUCCUUUAGAUCGGUUCAGACAAGUCAUGCCUCAUGCAAUGCUCUCAAGAUCAAUGAGGCUUGUUAAAGAGUGACUUCCUGAAGUCACUUUGUAUAAAUUAUUCACCAAGAACUUCACAGUUUUUAUGGUCUUUUAAGACAAUGAUUUAACAAAUCUCAAAGGCAUGUCAAUUUAAAGUAUUGAUCCAAAGCUUGGAGCUUCAGCUAAUUAUACCCAAAGAUCACAGGUUGAUAAAGUUUUCAAAACUAGGCUAAAAAGUUAGGUGGAUUAAUUUAAGUGAUCUAUAACAUUCCUUCCUUAGGAACAAGUUUAAAACACUGUGAAAAUGUUCUUUACAGCAAUGGCAUCACUUUUGCCUCCUGCCAAAAGUGGGAAGUGUACAAAGCCCGAAGAGAAAAGAUAUUCAUAUUAGAAGAAUUCAGCAAAUUUCCUGGAACUUCAGUCCCCUCUCAUGUGUUUAGAAAUUUAAUUUAUUAUCCUACUGCCCUGAAGAUAUAAUUUAAUCUAAAAUAAUUUGGCUGUAAUUUCAAUCUUUUACAUCUUUGACUCUUUUCUGUGUGACUGUAUCCUUUUGUGAGUGUAAAUACCAGGCAUUUAGAAAAUUCUAUGUAGAGAGGUUAUAGUUAAUGAAAGAAACACAUAACUUUGCAUUUCAAAAAAAGUAAAAAAAAACCCACAAAAACUAAUUUUGGCACAGUUAAGAGAAGGACAAAAUAGCAUAGAACAUUUAGAAAAUGCUGCAAAUAUACUUUGCAACCUUCUUUUUUAAUUCAGUCUCAGAGAAAAUAGCUUCAUUCAGCUUUAUUAGUGUUUUGAAGAGUUCUAUAUCCUUUUUGAAAUAUAUUUUUAGUGGUCAAAGGUAAAAUAUAUUGCAUUCUGCUAUACAGCUAUACUGAAAUACCCUUGUUAAAGAGAGCCUUCAGUAAAUGCUACUUUGAAACUGAGCUUGAAAAAUGACAAAUCUUAGAACUACUUUUUUUUUGUCUAAAACAAGAAGUGAUCAGCUAUUCUGCCACUGUCCACUCUUGCCUGAAAACCCUUUUGGGGAAAAGUGUGAAAAAUUAGUGAAGGAUGAAAUAAUUUCCAGAUGAAAUUAGCUUUUUGGUUAAAGAAAACAGAAGCAAACAGAAGGAGAAUAAACAUGAUUUAUGUUUCUGUUUUGUUCCAUAUGCACCAAUUACAAACAAAUUUAGCUCCUGGUGGCCAGAAACCCUAAGGAUCUUGUGAUGUGUAUUCCUGUUAGUCUCUAAUCCUAUAUUAAAUAUUGUACUGAGGCCUGUUAAACAUUGAUAAGCUAUUUUUCCACUGCAUGGUCCUCUGAGAUGAUUGUGCCUAAAUGCCAUAAAGACCUGGAUUAGGUUUAUGCAUUGUUGUGCUGGUUUAGAUACAUCUUAGCUCUCAGUCUUAUCUUUCCAAGGGACAAAGUCAGCCUGACUGUAUAUUAAUAUUGGUAUCAUUGUAGUGAUUAACUGUUCAAAUCUGAAAAAAAAA
Parus major (Great Tit) is the source of this 2530-nucleotide long non-coding RNA. RefSeq lists it as uncharacterized. The transcript has 2 exons. The record is from RefSeq and is a predicted model, not a curated record. Lineage: Eukaryota; Metazoa; Chordata; Aves; Passeriformes; Paridae.